Molecule: unclassified non-coding RNA, 208 nt
Filed under: Hevea brasiliensis (rubber tree)
Lineage: Eukaryota; Viridiplantae; Streptophyta; Magnoliopsida; Malpighiales; Euphorbiaceae
Source: RNAcentral
GUGCACAGCAAGUAUGUUAUGUGGCAUCUUUUGUUAUGGUUCCUAAUGUUUCCCAGAGUUUGUUUCUGAAAACAGAGGCCUUCCGAAGAAGCAAAGCUAAAAAAGAUAUUCUCCUUUCAGUGUUAACUUUUAUGAACUUCUGUCACUUCUUUCAGCUACAGUUGCUCUUUUCGUUCCACCAACACCCCCCCCCAACCUUUUCUUCCUU